GUUUGUGGCUCAGUGGUAGAGCACUUGCCCAGCAUGUGUGAGGCACUGGGUUUGACUCUCAGCACCACA
RNAcentral lists this transfer RNA (69 nucleotides) under Marmota monax (woodchuck). RNAcentral's name for it is "tRNA.Ala". Lineage: Eukaryota; Metazoa; Chordata; Mammalia; Rodentia; Sciuridae. The record is from RNAcentral.